Long non-coding RNA from Mauremys mutica (yellowpond turtle), 498 nucleotides. RefSeq lists it as uncharacterized. The record is from RefSeq and is a predicted model, not a curated record. Lineage: Eukaryota; Metazoa; Chordata; Testudines; Geoemydidae. The transcript is spliced from 5 exons.
GCCCAAGCUACUGCAGCUGCACUGCCAUUUUUAGCUCACUAGAUCAGAUGAGAGCUAGCGUGGCUGCUGAGUGAACACAGAUAGCACAUUCGGACCAAUUUGCCUCAUGUAAGACUAGAAACGAUCAGCUGUUCAUGAGUGAUAAAGAAGAUGCAAGUAAUGACUGUGCAAAACCACAAGCCCAAGAGGACUCGAUGCAUAUGUGGAAUCCCAGAAUGCUCAAGAUCUCAGAACUUUCCUCUGGGGAAGACUGGAGCGAUCAGCCGAAACUUUGGGCUAGAUCCAGACCCCAUUGAUGUCAUCAGAAAGACUUCAACUUCAGUGGAUAUUGGAUCAGGGCUGCAGGCAGUAGAGAGGAUGGCAGGCCGUCUGGACACAACAGAGAUUCCAUGAUCAUUCACACACUAUUUCUAGGACGAUACAAGCAAUCCAAUAAACAGUUCAUAAACUUCAGCUCAGCACUACAACUGUUCACAUCGGCAUAUGCAAGAAACCAGC